This 556-nucleotide ribosomal RNA is filed under the name uncultured fungus. Its description in RNAcentral is "SSU rRNA". It matches the Rfam family "Eukaryotic small subunit ribosomal RNA", at positions 194 to 755 of the family's 1831-position model. The record is from RNAcentral. Lineage: Eukaryota; Fungi.
GGAAGGGGUGUAUUUAUUAGAUAAAAAACCAAUGCCCUUCGGGGCUCCUUGGUGAAUCAUAAUAACUUAACGAAUCGCAUGGCCUUGCGCCGGCGAUGGUUCAUUCAAAUCUCUGCCCUAUCAACUUUCGAUGGUAGGAUAGUGACCUACCAUGGUAUCAACGGGUAACGGGGAAUUAGGGUUCGAUUCCGGAGAGGGAGCCUGAGAAACGGCUACCACAUCCAAGGAAGGCAGCAGGCGCGCAAAUUACCCAAUCCCGACACGGGGAGGUAGUGACAAUAAAUACUGAUCCAGGGCUCUUUUGGGUCUUGGAAUUGGAAUGAGUACAAUUUAAAUCUCUUAACGAGGAACAAUUGGAGGGCAAGUCUGGUGCCAGCAGCCGCGGUAAUUCCAGCUCCAAUAGCGUAUAUUAAAGUUGUUGCAGUUAAAAAGCUCGUAGUUGAAACUUGGGCCUGGCUGGCGGGUCCGCCUCACCGCGAGCACUCGUCCGGCCGGGCCUUCCUUAUGAAGAACCUCAUGCCCUUCAAUGGGUGUGCUGGGGAACCAGGACUUUUCC